UCCCCGCUUUACGGGGCAGUCUCGCCAGAGAAUACAACUAUUCACAAGGGUUGCGCUCGUUGAUGGACUUAACCAAACAUCUCACGACACGAGCUGACGACGGCCAUGCAACAUCUGUCACUUGGCUCAAUAAAGCACUCACUACUUUCGUAGUAACUCCAAGGAUGUCAAACCCUGGUAAGGUUCUUCGUUUAUCAUCGAAUUAAAGAACACGAUCCACCGCUUGUGCGGGUCCCCGUCAAUUCCUUUAUGUUUUAGUCUUGCGACCGUACUCCACAGGCGGGAUACUUAACGCGUUAGCUUCGCUACUGGAGGGGUCGAUACCUCCAACAGCUAGUAUCCAUCGUUUACGGCGUGGACUAC
RNAcentral lists this unclassified non-coding RNA (363 nucleotides) under uncultured bacterium. Its description in RNAcentral is "contains 16S-23S intergenic spacer region". The record is from RNAcentral.